This 478-nucleotide ribosomal RNA is filed under the name uncultured bacterium. Its description in RNAcentral is "partial 16S ribosomal RNA". It matches the Rfam family "Bacterial small subunit ribosomal RNA", at positions 28 to 523 of the family's 1533-position model. The record is from RNAcentral.
GACGAACGCUGGCGGCGUGCUUAACACAUGCAAGUCGAACGGUAAGGCCCUUCGGGGUACACGAGUGGCGAACGGGUGAGUAACACGUGGGUGAUCUGCCCUGCACUUCGGGAUAGGCCUGGGAAACUGGGUCUAAUACCGGAUAGGACCACUGCCUGCAUGGGGGGUGGGGGAAAGCUUUUGCGGUGUGGGGUGGGCCCGCGGCCUAUCAGCUUGUUGGUGGGGUGAUGGCCUACCAAGGCGACGACGGGUAGCCGGCCUGAGAGGGUGACCGGCCACACUGGGACUGAGAUACGGCCCAGACUCCUACGGGAGGCAGCAGUGGGGAAUAUUGCACAAUGGGCGCAAGCCUGAUGCAGCGACGCCGCGUGAGGGAUGACGGCCUUCGGGUUGUAAACCUCUUUCAGCACCGACGAAGCGCAAGUGACGGUAGGUGCAGAAGAAGGACCGGCCGACUACGUGCCAGCCGCCGCAGUAA